This 772-nucleotide ribosomal RNA is filed under the name uncultured bacterium. Its description in RNAcentral is "bacterial SSU rRNA". It matches the Rfam family "Bacterial small subunit ribosomal RNA", at positions 110 to 883 of the family's 1533-position model. The record is from RNAcentral.
GUAACGCGUAUCCAACCUGCCUUACACUCUUGGACAGCCUUCUGAAAGGGAGAUUAAUACAAGAUGUUAUCAUGAGUAAGCAUUUUCGCAUGAUUAAAGGUUUACCGGUGUAAGAUGGGGAUGCGUUCCAUUAGAUAGUAGGCGGGGUAACGGCCCACCUAGUCUUCGAUGGAUAGGGGUUCUGAGAGGAAGGUCCCCCACAUUGGAACUGAGACACGGUCCAAACUCCUACGGGAGGCAGCAGUGAGGAAUAUUGGUCAAUGGACGAGAGUCUGAACCAGCCAAGUAGCGUGAAGGAUGAAGGUUCUAUGGAUUGUAAACUUCUUUUAUACGGGAAUAAACGGAUCCACGUGUGGAUUUUUGCAUGUACCGUAUGAAUAAGGAUCGGCUAACUCCGUGCCAGCAGCCGCGGUAAUACGGAGGAUCCGAGCGUUAUCCGGAUUUAUUGGGUUUAAAGGGAGCGUAGAUGGGUUGUUAAGUCAGUUGUGAAAGUUUGCGGCUCAACCGUAAAAUUGCAAUUGAUACUGGCAGUCUUGAGUACAGUUGAGGUAGGCGGAAUUCGUGGUGUAGCGGUGAAAUGCUUAGAUAUCACGAAGAACUCCGAUUGCGAAGGCAGCUUACUAACCUGUAACUGACAUUGAUGCUCGAAAGUGUGGGUAUCAAACAGGAUUAGAUACCCUGGUAGUCCACACGGUAAACGAUGAAUACUCGCUGUAGGCGAUAUACAGUCUGCGGCCAAGCGAAAGCAUUAAGUAUUCCACCUGGGGAGUAC